CCUACGGGGGGCUGCAAUUAGGAAUCUUGUGCAAUGGGCGAAAGCCUGACACAGCGACGCCGCGUGGAGGACGACGGCCUUCGGGUUGUAAACUCCUUUUGAUGAGGAAGAAGCAAGUGACGGUACUCGUCGAAUAAGCCCCGGCUAACUCCGUGCCAGCAGCCGCGGUAAUACGGGGGGGGCGAGCGUUGUCCGAAGUUACUGGGCGUAAAGGGCGCGUAGGCGGGGUGUCACGUCCGCUGUGAAAGCCUGGAGCUUAACUCCAGCGGGUCGGU
This 275-nucleotide ribosomal RNA is filed under the name uncultured bacterium. RNAcentral describes it as "partial 16S ribosomal RNA". It matches the Rfam family "Bacterial small subunit ribosomal RNA", at positions 338 to 627 of the family's 1533-position model. The record is from RNAcentral.